Molecule: ribosomal RNA, 235 nt
Filed under: uncultured bacterium
Lineage: Bacteria
Description: partial 16S ribosomal RNA
Rfam family: Bacterial small subunit ribosomal RNA
Source: RNAcentral
UCGGAACGUGUCCUGUUGUGGGGGAGUAACUGAUCGAAAGAUCAGCUAAUACCGCAUGAGACCUGAGGGUGAAAGCGGGGGAUCGCAAGACCUCGCGCGACAGGAGCGGCCGAUGUCUGAUUAGCUAGUUGGUGAGAUAAAAGCUUACCAAGGCGACGAUCAGUAGCUGGUCUGAGAGGAUGAUCAGCCACAUUGGGACUGAGACACGGUCCAAACUCCUACGGGAGGCAGCAUG